AUGGCUCGGCGGUUCAUCAUAAGCAAACGUCUCCUCCGCGCCAACUACGUCUUGAAUGAGAGUACUUACGAGAUCCCCAUCCAGAACCAGCGAAGAGGGAGGAGCAGAGGUGGAAGAAGAAGAGGCAGGCCGCGUCCAAGCAGACGAGACAUGCACACCGUCCACCUCUCCUCCCCCUCUCGACGGCGCGACCAAUACCGCCGCUACGAACAGCACAAGCAACCCCAUCCUCCCCGUCAUGGCUGCCACCUCUCAGAUGCCCGUCCUCCCAAAACCCACCAUCUUUGGAUGGGUUUCGCCCUCACGGAGCGGCAACAGAGAGAGAGGAGGAUCACUAUAUCUCGGGCCGUUGGGCGGCGGAAUCGCCGAGGAGGACGGGUGGGUGCCGUUCGUUUUAUGGAGCACUGA
This 408-nucleotide ribosomal RNA is filed under the name Triticum aestivum (bread wheat). RNAcentral describes it as "partial small subunit ribosomal RNA". Lineage: Eukaryota; Viridiplantae; Streptophyta; Magnoliopsida; Poales; Poaceae. The record is from RNAcentral.